Molecule: transfer RNA, 90 nt
Filed under: Candidatus Roizmanbacteria bacterium CG06_land_8_20_14_3_00_34_14
Lineage: Bacteria; Candidatus Roizmaniibacteriota
Also listed under: 1 other name
Description: tRNA-Ser
Rfam family: tRNA
About the family: Transfer RNA (tRNA) molecules are approximately 80 nucleotides in length. Their secondary structure includes four short double-helical elements and three loops (D, anti-codon, and T loops).
Source: RNAcentral
GGAGAGGUCGCAUAGUGGUUUAGUGCAGCAGUUUACUAAACUGCCGUCCCUUUACAGGGACCGGGGGUUCGAAUCCCCCCCUCUCCGCCA